UUAGGCCUUGACAUACUAAGAACUUUCCAGAGAUGGAUUGGUGCCUUCGGGAACUUAGAUACAGGUGCUGCAUGGCUGUCGUCAGCUCGUGUCGUGAGAUGUUGGGUUAAGUCCGCAACGAGCGCAACCCUUUUCCUAUUUGCCAGCGGGUAAUGCCGGGAACUUUAAGGAUACUGCCAGUGACAAACUGGAGGAAGGCGGGGACGACGUCAAGUCAUCAUGGCCCUUACGGCCAGGGCUACACACGUGCUACAAUAGUCGGUACAAAGGGUUGCUACCUCGCGAGAGGAUGCUAAUCUCAAAAAGCCGAUCGUAGUCCGGAUCGCAGUCUGCAACUCGACUGCGUGAAGUCGGAAUCGCUAGUAAUCGCGGAUCAGAAUGCCGCGGUGAAUACGUUCCCGGGCCUUGUACACACCGCCCGUCACACCAUGGGAGUUUGUUGCACCAGAAGUAGGUAGUCUAACCGCAAGGAGGACGCUUACCACGGUGUGGCCGAUGACUGGGGUGAAGUCGUAACAAGGUAGGCGUAGAUGA
Molecule: ribosomal RNA, 534 nt
Filed under: uncultured bacterium
Lineage: Bacteria
Description: bacterial SSU rRNA
Rfam family: Bacterial small subunit ribosomal RNA
Source: RNAcentral